RNAcentral lists this ribosomal RNA (404 nucleotides) under uncultured cyanobacterium. Its description in RNAcentral is "partial 16S ribosomal RNA". It matches the Rfam family "Bacterial small subunit ribosomal RNA", at positions 355 to 774 of the family's 1533-position model. Lineage: Bacteria; Bacillati; Cyanobacteriota. The record is from RNAcentral.
UGGGGAAUUUUCCGCAAUGGGCGAAAGCCUGACGGAGCAACGCCGCGUGAGGGAGGAAGGCCUUCGGGUUGUAAACCUCUUUUCUCAGGGAAGAAGUUCUGACGGUACCUGAGGAAUCAGCCUCGGCUAACUCCGUGCCAGCAGCCGCGGUAAGACGGAGGAGGCAAGCGUUAUCCGGAAUUAUUGGGCGUAAAGCGUCCGUAGGUGGUUAUUCAAGUCUUUUGUUAAAGGAUGGAGCUUAACUUCAUUUAGGCGGAAGAAACUGAAUGACUAGAGGAUGGUAGGGGUAGAGGGAAUUCCAGGUGUAGCGGUGAAAUGCGUAGAUAUCUGGAAGAACACCAGUGGCGAAGGCGCUCUACUGGGCCAUUACUGACACUGAGGGACGAAAGCUAGGGGAGCGAAAG